This is a long non-coding RNA of Dermacentor albipictus, 471 nucleotides long. RefSeq lists it as uncharacterized. The record is from RefSeq and is a predicted model, not a curated record. NCBI's taxonomy places the organism in Eukaryota, Metazoa, Arthropoda, Arachnida, Ixodida, Ixodidae.
AAGACACGCACUUAGAAUUUUGGCAUUGCGGCGCUAGUGGCGACAAGUAUCUGACUGCACGGCAUUUCGCUGCGACGUAGACAUGAAAAAAGUCCCCAGGUCACUACUGAUAGCUAUUGUGGGGGUAUUAUUCGCGAUAGAACUCUCUGAACAAUGGACGGUAAUUGACCCCAGAGCUUGGAAAAAUGGAAAGUGCUACUUCAGAGGAGGAGUAUAUAAAGUUGGCGAGGCAACGUAUGAUACAAAGCAGUGCGUGAAAUGGGUCUGUUAUCGACAAAAUAGGACUGAUGGCGCGAUGUUGGGUCUCGGGUGUGGAAAGGUGGACGCAACGCCACCGUGCAAACUGAUACCUACGAGGGAAGGUAUCAACCCGGAAUGUUGCGAGUAUGCACUGUGCGGAAACAGGCGAUUGGCCCAAUAGACUAUUGGUACUUGAACAAAGACAACUUGAGUGCAAGAAGCACGUUAUUA